RNAcentral lists this long non-coding RNA (411 nucleotides) under Androctonus crassicauda. The record is from RNAcentral. Lineage: Eukaryota; Metazoa; Arthropoda; Arachnida; Scorpiones; Buthidae.
UCUGUAAAUUUGCUUUAAAACUUAGACUGAAAAUGCUUUCUGGUAUGUUAACAUAUCUUAUACAGAUAGCUACAAUCUCUUCUGUUGUGGUUGUUGUGCUUGAAUCACAUAUGAGUGAAAAGAAUAUGGCUUUCCUUAAUUCUGCUACAUGCUUAUUUUGGAUGUCUGCUGCUAUAAACCCCUAUGAAUUCUUUGCAGUGUUUAUCACAUAUGUAUUCCUACUCCAAGGCAAGACAUUUUUUCUUCUGCAGUUCACAUAUAGUGUGAAAGCAAUAACAUAAGCUGUGUUAAAGAGGCACUUCAUAUGCUUAAACAUUAUUUUUGACAUACAAGAUGCACAUUUUGCCAUUGGAGUCUCCUCUGGCUUCCAAAUGGCUCUAUCAUGUUCCAUAGAUUUUUUAUGCUCUGCUG